AUGAUAUUCCGUCUUCUGCUCCACUGUGACUGCGAAGCUCUUCGUGUCCGCAGGAACCGAAUGCAGCCCGCGUGUGUGCAUCGUCUCUGUCCUGGGGGGGCGGCGCCGGAGAUGGAGCGCAGCGCUCUGCUCGACGCCUCGGGUGUGUCGCCGGAUGAGGAACUGUCCGUAAAAGACGUCCGCCGUGUUUUCCACAAGGUGCUUCACGUGUCCGUGAGCCCACGGGAUGUGGAGAAAGCCAUCAGAAAGGUAACUGGGGACACCCACGGCCCUGUUUGCGGCGCGGGGAAGCUGCUGGACGUCCUUGCCGAGAUUGAGAAUGAGCGUGUCACCAGCGAGGAGCUCUACUGGGAUUUCCAAAUGCUAAAUGCUGGGAGGCUUCGAACGCUGGAACAUUUGUAUGCAAAGGAUAUAAAGCUCUCAGUCAGGAGCUUUUCGCCCACAAUGCCUUGGAGCUCCCCAUGCCUUCAUGACCAAAGGCAGAAAAAUCAAGAAGCUCGGACGCGAAGCCUUUCCCAAGAACGUACGCACGGUGAAGAAGAUCUCUUGUUGGGCGUAAGUGGACUGCAGGGGGAGCGACUAAAGAAGAGGUUCUACGCGCGGAGGCUUAAGAAAGAUGUGAGGAGGCUGUGCAACAGGCUGUCAAAGGCUGGAUUGCACGUUGUCCUGCCGUCACUGUGCAGCAGCGCUGAGGGUCCUGCAGGAGCACAAGGCAUCAAAACUGGGGAAACGGUACCAUCCGAUGCUGACAUGUUUCAGGAUGUGGAGGAUAAAUAUGACACCUUGCGACGCAAACUCUGCAGAGAGAUGCUCCAGCAGCACCACGGUGAUGCAGAAAUGCGCAAUCUCUGA
This 852-nucleotide long non-coding RNA is filed under the name Scleropages formosus (Asian bonytongue). RNAcentral's name for it is "lncRNA (ENSSFOG00015030922.1)". The record is from RNAcentral. Lineage: Eukaryota; Metazoa; Chordata; Actinopteri; Osteoglossiformes; Osteoglossidae.